This 224-nucleotide long non-coding RNA is filed under the name Gallus gallus (chicken). RNAcentral describes it as "long non-coding RNA NONGGAT004933". Lineage: Eukaryota; Metazoa; Chordata; Aves; Galliformes; Phasianidae. The record is from RNAcentral.
GGAUUUUGGGGUUGAAAUUUUCAUAACAGCUCCAUGGCUUUCCAGAAGGAAGAAGAGGUCACCUGCACUCCUGGAAACACUGGAGGAGAAAAACAUUCCAGUCUAGGGAACAGCCAUGCCAGGGAUACCCCGCAGAGCGCUGCAUAAGUGAAUCUUUCUGGUUCACCCAGCUGCUGGCUCAGCAGCACACACGAUUCCUUUUCUCCUGCUUGUUCAGCCCCACU